RNAcentral lists this ribosomal RNA (657 nucleotides) under Acinetobacter baumannii. Its description in RNAcentral is "bacterial SSU rRNA". It matches the Rfam family "Bacterial small subunit ribosomal RNA", at positions 1 to 654 of the family's 1533-position model. Lineage: Bacteria; Pseudomonadati; Pseudomonadota; Gammaproteobacteria; Moraxellales; Moraxellaceae. The record is from RNAcentral.
UUUAAGUUUUGNANCCCCNCUCAGAUUGAACGCUGGCGGCAGGCUUAACACAUGCAAGUCGAGCGGGGAAAAGUAGCUUGCUACUUAACUUAGCGGCGGACGGGUGAGUAAUACUUAGGAAUCUGCCUAUUAGUGGGGGACAACAUUUCGAAAGGAAUGCUAAUACCGCAUACGUCCUACGGGAGAAAGCAGGGGAUCACUUGUGACCUUGCGCUAAUAGAUGAGCCUAAGUCGGAUUAGCUAGUUGGUGGGGUAAAGGCCUACCAAGGCGACGAUCUGUAGCGGGUCUGAGAGGAUGAUCCGCCACACUGGGACUGAGACACGGCCCAGACUCCUACGGGAGGCAGCAGUGGGGAAUAUUGGACAAUGGGGGGAACCCUGAUCCAGCCAUGCCGCGUGUGUGAAGAAGGCCUUUUGGUUGUAAAGCACUUUAAGCGAGGAGGAGGCUACUCUAGUUAAUACCUAGGGAUAGUGGACGUUACUCGCAGAAUAAGCACCGGCUAACUCUGUGCCAGCAGCCGCGGUAAUACAGAGGGUGCGAGCGUUAAUCGGAUUUACUGGGCGUAAAGCGUGCGUAGGUGGCCAAUUAAGUCAAAUGUGAAAUCCCCGAGCUUAACUUGGGAAUUGCAUUCGAUACUGGUGGCUAGAGUAUGGAGA